GCCCUUACUGCUCAGUAACACGUGGAUAACCUGCCCUUGGNUCCGGCAUAACCCCNGGAAACUGGGGAUAAUUCCGGAUACCGCAUAUGUGCUGGAAUGCUUUAUGCGUAAAAUGGAUUCGUCUGCCCAAGGAUGGGUCUGCGGCCUAUCAGGUAGUAGUGGGUGUAAUGUACCUACUAGCCGACAACGGGUACGGGUUGUGAGAGCAAGAGCCCGGAGAUGGAUUCUGAGACAUGAAUCCAGGCCCUACGGGGCGCAGCAGGCGCGAAAACUUUACAAUGCGGGAAACCGUGAUAAGGGGACACCGAGUGCCAGCAUCAUAUGCUGGCUGUCCGGGUGUGUAAAAUACACCUGUUAGCAAGGGCCGGGCAAGACCGGUGCCAGCCGCCGCGGUAACACCGGCGGCCCGAGUGGUGAUCGUGAUUAUUGGGUCUAAAGGGUCCGUAGCCGGUUUGGUCAGUCCUCCGGGAAAUCUGAUAGCUCAACUGUUAGGCUUUCGGGGGAUACUACCAGACUUGGAACCGGGAGAGGUAAGAGGUACUACAGGGGUAGGAGUGAAAUCUUGUAAUCCCUGUGGGACCACCUGUGGCGAAGGCGUCUUACCAGAACGGGUUCGACGGUGAGGGACGAAAGCUGGGGGCACGAACCGGAUUAGAUACCCGGGUAGUCCCAGCCGUAAACGAUGCUCGCUAGGUGUCAGGCAUGGCGCGACCGUGUCUGGUGCCGCAGGGAAGCCGUGAAGCGAGCCACCUGGGAAGUACGGCCGCAAGGCUGAAACUUAAAGGAAUUGGCGGGGGAGCACAACAACGGGUGGAGCCUGCGGUUUAAUUGGACUCAACGCCGGGA
Molecule: ribosomal RNA, 846 nt
Filed under: uncultured archaeon
Lineage: Archaea
Description: bacterial SSU rRNA
Rfam family: Archaeal small subunit ribosomal RNA
Source: RNAcentral